CAUAGGAGGUAACAAUAAUAAAUCUGAAAACUUGUGGAAAAUUUUACGGAUUUCUAUAUAUAUUAAUAUUUAAAAUAUUAGGCAAAAUUAUUAAUAAUUAUUAAUAUGACCAAAGUCUAUUAACUAAGAAAAUGUCUUUUUUUUUUUUUUUUUUUAUAAAAAUUAGUUGUGAAAUUUUCGAAAUAACUGCAAAUGACAAAUUAUCCGAAGGCGAUGCUACUAGAUAUAACUGAGGAAAUGUUUUUUUUUUUUUACAUCGACUCAAACAGAAUCCAAAGAUUGUCCUCGAUUUUCAAUUACCCUAUUGCCAAUCCAAAUACCGAUUUCGCUGGAAUUCGAAUGGAAAAUCACCACCACCGACUUAGAGUUAUUCUGGGAAUUAAAGCCAGAUCCAUCCGUGUGUGUCCGUUUGACACACACGGAUGGAUCUGGUGCCGAUCAUUUUCUCCGCGAUUAUUAAUUACAGUCGUUGCGUAAUCAGUUUGUUGAUGACUUAUUUCUUAACGGUAUUAUCCGUCAUUCCACAUUUUACAUUCCUAUGGAUGAGGAGGAGUAUUUAAAUUCCAAUUAAAUAUUCCACUGGGACUGUAGGUUUUCUACGCUGGUUUGAAUGGCAUUCCGCCUGGAGCGCCGCCACCAGUCUCACUUAUCUUCCUUAAAUUUCUCCAGGCGUUAGUAUUAUUAUCCACUGGAAAAUGACCGUCCAGCUUAGAAAGAGAAAAUUCGGUUUUGUUUCCUCUAGCCAAAGUGUGAUAGCGCGCAUACCCGAAUGGUUUUAAAUCCGCUAAGUUAAAAUGAAAGAUUUUUGGCAAGUUACGUAUAAUUAUCGUCCGAGAGAGAAAUUGAAAUGACCUGACAAAUACCAUCCAAAAGUAAUUUCUUCAUUUUUAAUAUAUAUUUUACGUGCCGAAUCCGUCGAGUAAUAAAUAUAAUCUAAAGGCGCGUAUUCAUCCGAGAGAGAAACUUUGGCCAGAGAUUCUCGAGAGAGAAUUUGGCCAGUGGAUACAUUCCCGCAGGGCCGUAACUAGGGCGUGACCAAAGCGGCAUUGGCCACGGGCGCAGCUUGAUUAGGGGCGCAAAUUUUUUAUUUCAAUUAUUUGCAGGCAAAUGAUUUUUUCGAUAAACGUUCGCAGACAUAGCGUUGUUUUUCUUUGAUUUUAUUUCUUAGAAGAGGUAAUUCGUGGGUAAGAGCGGUC
This 1196-nucleotide long non-coding RNA is filed under the name Androctonus crassicauda. The record is from RNAcentral. Lineage: Eukaryota; Metazoa; Arthropoda; Arachnida; Scorpiones; Buthidae.